CUUAUUUGUCUCGCGAGAGUUGGCAACUGUGCUGUAACUGACAAGAGGAAACACACCGUCUCUCGCCGCUGUUUUCACUGCUUUCAGGAGUGACAAAAUAACCCUUCUACAACAGAAGGGAAUGUCCAAGAUUUCAACAUUCCUGAAGGGAGCUGCUGACAGAGAUGUAGGAAACAUAGCAGAGUUGAAGUGAACUUUCUGUCAGACAACAUCUUCAAGAUGCUAUAAACUUCAGGACUAGGUUAUUAAAAACUGCACAGCACCAGGACUUGUGAGGACUUCAGUUGAUGCCAAUACUCAAAAAGACCUUAGAUGAUGGCAACUAUAGAUGGACAUACAAACUCCAACCAACCAGAAGUGAGGCCAGAAAUGUUUAAGUGGGUGGGCAAGGUGCGUGUAAGAAAACUGCAUAAUUGCCAACAGAAAAUACAGCACAAAUGUUCAAUGCACAACACUUCUAAAGCAUUAAUUAACAUUAAUUUUAAUUUCAACAUUUUCUAAUAAUUAUUAACAUUUAAAUUUAUCUGUUAACAUUCGUACCUGAGCUAACAAAAAAGUUGUAGCCUAUUUUUAUUAACUAACCUUAAAAAUUAAUUAAUACUGUAACAAAUGUAUUUCUCAUUGUUAAUGUUAGUUAAUGCAUUACCUAACCUAAGUUUAUUGUAAAGCAUUACCUUAGUCUGAGACGACGGAGCUUCACAGAUGAUCUUAUAAUCAGUCUCUGUCAGUUCGCGUUCAAAGGAGAGUAAACGAAUACCGCAGAAAUGUGCACAGCUGCAAACAUGCAGUUUGUUGUGGAGAAGAGUAUGUAGCACAACGUUUAUGUGUUUCUUUCUACAAAGGACGCAUCUAUUUAGCGGUUUAAACACUGUACCGUUGCUAAUAUGAUGCUUUAAACACACUCAUAAGUUUCCAAUCUAAAUCCAUCACCCGGUGGUCUGGUUUCGUUUGUAGGCAGUCUGGAUUCAGUGCUAAGACUUAAGUUUCAUUUGGGAUAUCCAAUAUUUUUAAAGACUGAUUGAGGUUUGUUUCACUAUUUUCAAAUUCAACAUUAUUUUAAAACGUGCGCAUUUUACUAUGUUCUUACGUCGUAAACAUAAAUGUGGGUGGGACUAACUGAAUCGUCACUGACGAACCAUCAUUUUUGACAAGGGUAUGCUAUAUGCACCUAUAGGAAGAAAACUCACAUUAAAUAUAUUUUAAAGUAAAUGUAUGAAGUUAUAGGGAAACUAUUCAUUUAUUAUUAUUAUUAUCGUUUAAUAAAUAUCAUUCAUUUGGAAAAGUACCAACUUCUCAUUGGGUGGGCCACGGCUGAAAGUGGGUGGGCCUUGGCCCACGCGGGCCCACCCGUAGCUUCGCCACUGCCACCAACAGACUAGUAAGUCUGGGUUAAAAGAUGGCUGCAGCUUGCCAGAGAUGGGAUGGAGGCCGUCGGCCAGGAGAGAAGAUUUAAAGGUGCAUUAUGUAAUAUUGACAGCCAGCGGUUGAACUGACUGCUGCAAAUUUUCAAUAUCUGCAAACGUAAUAUUUUAAUGCUUUAAUACUGUCAAAAAAUACAUACAGCACCUUUAAGAUGUUGUCUUUUCCUGUCUCCAGGUUGUUGGUAUCGGACUGCUUUUUGGCUUUGAUCCUCACUUGCCCCUGACCUCUUGUCUGAAUUACCCUCUGGAUUGAUGUUUUCUUUGGACUGCUUUCUGGUUUUGACCCCUGUCUGUUUAAUGGACUCCCCUUUUGCCCUGCUCAUGGUUAGUUACCUAGUUAUCGAACUGUUGAUUUGAAUUCUCUAUUUCUUUGACUCCUCUUGCAGAAAUGUGUUGUGCUCCUCUGGUUAACAAUGUAUCAGUUCAGUCAGAAUAGUUGAAUGUAUAUACUUUAUUGGAAUUAUGUAUGUAUCUGUAUUUAUCUGUAUUUGUUUUAUAUCUAUAUCUAUAUCUGCAUUUGCAUUUAUCUGAUUUCUCUUGUUCUUUUUUUCUUCCGCUCGAAGUCUAUGGCAGCCCAUAGAACCGCUUGCGGGAAACUUGUGAAAUUUGGCACACUGAUAGAGGACAGUCCCAACAUUAACCAUAGCAAAUUUGGAGUCUCUAACUCAAACUCUCUAGCGCCACCACUUGUCCAAAGUUGCACUCAUGUUUAUGCUAAUAACUUUUGAACCGUAAGCCACAGAAGUAAAACUAUUUUUUCCUCUAAUUCCGUGGCUCAUACUGAGUCGAAUGGAUACCAAAAUUAAAAAAUUGUAAGGUUUAGUUUUUUUGCUAUUUUUAAUUGUUCGUAAAACCUACGUUUUCGAACUCGUCCUAGGCCGUUGCACCGAUUGUCACAAAAUUUGAACCAGAUCAUAUUCAGACCAUGCUUGCAAAAAGUUAUGCCAUAUUCUAUAAAAAGUCAAACCAUUCUUGAAUAGCGCAUGAACAAAUUCUACGAAAAGCAUGCAAAAAUGGAUGUGAGGCUAUAUCUUCGCAACAGUUUGGCGUAUUGAGACCAAUCUUGGUGUGUGUUAUGAAAAGCAUGACCUGAGACUACCUGCAGUGUUUCGGCGCUGUGCCCCCUAGUGGUCACAAGAUAUGAAAAAUGCAUAUUUUUGCUUAUAACUUCUGAAUGGUUUGGCCAAAAAUCACAAAACUGGUCUCUUCAGAUUCGGUGCAUCAUGCCGAGUCGAAUAAUACCCAGUUUUCCCAUGUCAGCCAUUUUGAAUUGUUCUAAAACGCUGUAUUUUACGAAGGCAUUAGCGUAUCAUUACAAAACUCGGUAUGCAUCUUCGGCACCAUACCCUGAUGGUACUCAAAACAUUUGGCGGCAGCGUCACCUUCUGGUCAAAAGUUAUAAUGAAAUUUCGAAAAAAUGCUAAAAACUUUUGCUUAUAUUAGCCUAUUGUAAUGAGACUGAUGUUGAUUCCUUGUAUCAGGCUGAGAACACCGAUGCCAAUUUUACCUAACAGUUCGCAAUUAAAUCCAUAUCCUACCUUUUCUUGUAACCCGAUAAAAUCAAUCCAUGGUGCUGAACGUCGUCGGAGAUGUUUAAUCCACACGCAUAUCUGAGCAUGCCUGCUUGCUGGCGUUCACAUAAAUCUACAAGUCGUUCUUUUAGGUUAGGCUAUUUCAUUCAAGUCAAUAUAGGCUAAACAAUUAUUAUACACUCAAAUGUUUAACUUUUAGUCUGCUUGUCACUGUCAAAAAAAAAUAAAAUAGUCACAUUUUAUGCAAUAGCCUAUAUGAGAUAGCCCAUGAUCACUAGAUUAUAUACAGGUGCUACUAUAACGAUUUUGUAAAUGGUGAUCAGCAACCAAAUAUUGAUAAUGUGGAGGUUACUGUGUUUUGCCUUGGUGUGACUUGUCACUUUUUGCAGAUAAUGCAAAGGCAGAGUACAUUAACUUCAAAAUAGGGGUAAAAAUCAAGUUUGAGCUCACAAUUUUUUAAUGUAGAUAAUGUUCAUUACUAAAACACAUAAUUGCCAAAUUUCCAGUGUCCUACCUAUAAUUAAUAUGGCUGGACAAGUAAAAAACUUUAAAGUCAUUUUUCUCAGUUUCACACUAGCGAGUUAAGGUAUUUUGCCUUUGUAGGGCAGUAUUGAUUUAGGUUAUUUGAUUAGGGUUUCUUUCCAAUUUAAUUUACUUUAUUUUUUUUUAUAUCUUAAAUGUAUUAUUUGGUAUGUUGUAUAGAGUGUGAUAUGAAAAUUGAAUGUCUUGAUAUGUAAUUAUUUAAUUUAUGAAUGCCUCUCUUUGUUGGUGUUCAAAGUGUUUGAAUAAAAAAAAUAAAUGAAUA
Long non-coding RNA from Onychostoma macrolepis, 3758 nucleotides. RefSeq lists it as uncharacterized. The transcript has 4 exons. NCBI's taxonomy places the organism in Eukaryota, Metazoa, Chordata, Actinopteri, Cypriniformes, Cyprinidae. The record is from RefSeq and is a predicted model, not a curated record.